CCUACGGGUGGCAGCAGUGAGGAAUAUUGGUCAAUGGGCUUACGCCUGAACCAGCCAAGCCGCGUGAGGGAAGACUGCUCUAUGGUUUGUAAACCUCUUUUGUCAGGGAGCAAUUGGCGCUACGUGUAGCGUUAUCGAGAGUACCUGAAGAAAAAGCAUCGGCUAACUCCGUGCCAGCAGCCGCGGUAAUACGGAGGAUGAGAGCGUUAUCCGGAUUUAUUGGGUUUAAAGGGUGCGUAGGCGGAAUGCCAAGUCAGCGGUAAAAUCGCGUGGCUAAACCUCGAUCCGCCGUUGAAACUGGCGGUCUUGAGUGGGGGAGAAGUAUGCGGAAUGCGUGGUGUAGCGGUGAAAUGCAUAGAUAGCACGAAGAACUCCGAUUGCGAAGGCAGCAUACCGGCGCCCAACUGACGCUGAAGCACGAAAGCGUGGGUAUCGAACAGGAUUAGAUACCCCGGUAGUC
Molecule: ribosomal RNA, 460 nt
Filed under: uncultured bacterium
Lineage: Bacteria
Description: partial 16S ribosomal RNA
Rfam family: Bacterial small subunit ribosomal RNA
Source: RNAcentral